GGCCAUGGGGGCAGGCUACCAUGCAGUCGAGCGGAUGAAGGGAGCUUGCUCCUGGAUUCAGCGGCGGACGGGUGAGUAAUGCCUAGGAAUCUGCCUGGUAGUGGGGGAUAACGUCCGGAAACGGGCGCUAAUACCGCAUACGUCCUGAGGGAGAAAGUGGGGGAUCUUCGGACCUCACGCUAUCAGAUGAGCCUAGGUCGGAUUAGCUAGUUGGUGGGGUAAAGGCCUACCAAGGCGACGAUCCGUAACUGGUCUGAGAGGAUGAUCAGUCACACUGGAACUGAGACACGGUCCAGACUCCUACGGGAGGCAGCAGUGGGGAAUAUUGGACAAUGGGCGAAAGCCUGAUCCAGCCAUGCCGCGUGUGUGAAGAAGGUCUUCGGAUUGUAAAGCACUUUAAGUUGGGAGGAAGGGCAGUAAGUUAAUACCUUGCUGUUUUGACGUUACCAACAGAAUAAGCACCGGCUAACUUCGUGCCAGCAGCCGCGGUAAUACGAAGGGUGCAAGCGUUAAUCGGAAUUACUGGGCGUAAAGCGCGCGUAGGUGGUUCAGCAAGUUGGAUGUGAAAUCCCCGGGCUCAACCUGGGAACUGCAUCCAAAACUACUGAGCUAGAGUACGGUAGAGGGUGGUGGAAUUUCCUGUGUAGCGGUGAAAUGCGUAGAUAUAGGAAGGAACACCAGUGGCGAAGGCGACCACCUGGACUGAUACUGACACUGAGGUGCGAAAGCGUGGGGAGCAAACAGGAUUAGAUACCCUGGUAGUCCACGCCGUAAACGAUGUCGACUAGCCGUUGGGAUCCUUGAGAUCUUAGUGGCGCAGCUAACGCGAUAAGUCGACCGCCUGGGGAGUACGGCCGCAAGGUUAAAACUCAAAUGAAUUGACGGGGGCCCGCACAAGCGGUGGAGCAUGUGGUUUAAUUCGAAGCAACGCGAAGAACCUUACCUGGCCUUGACAUGCUGAAAACUUUCCAAAGAUGGAUUGGUGCCUUCGGGAACUCAGACACAGGUGCUGCAUGGCUGUCCUCAACUCGGGUCCGGGAAUGUUGGGUUAAGUCCCGUAACGAGGGCAACCCUUGUCCUUAGUUACCAGCACCUCCGGUGGGGCAUUCUAAGGAAACUGCCGGUGACCAACCGGAGGAAGGUGGGGAUGACCUCAAGUCAUCAGGGCCCUUACGGCAAGGGUUACCACGUGCUUCAAUGGUCGGUACAAAGGUUGGCCAAGCCCCCGAGGUGGACUUAAUCCCUUAAAACCGAUUGGAUUCCGGAUCCAAUUUCGGACUCCACUGCGGGAAAGCGGAAUCCUUUGAAUCGGGAAACAAAAUGUCCGGGAAAAAUUUCCCGGGCCCUUGAACCCCGCCCCUCCACACCCGGGAAGGGUGUUUCCCCAAAAAAUGUUGUUACCCCGAGGGGAGAGGUUUCCCAAGGGUAUAUACCUGGGGAACCUGGCACCGGAAAACGGCACAGAGAAAAGGGUUUUUUUUUUU
This 1484-nucleotide ribosomal RNA is filed under the name Pseudomonas sp. RNAcentral describes it as "bacterial SSU rRNA". It matches the Rfam family "Bacterial small subunit ribosomal RNA". Lineage: Bacteria; Pseudomonadati; Pseudomonadota; Gammaproteobacteria; Pseudomonadales; Pseudomonadaceae. The record is from RNAcentral.